CCCUCCCCUAAAUCACUCCAAAAAAACAAUCCCCAAUUCUACACAAGUGUUUCUACACUAACAAAGCAACAGCUCCUUAACGAAUUCCCAACUUUACACGAGCUCGUCUCUCGAGGUUAAAUGUUAUUACUUGGUAAGAUUCCGGACCUCGCCAAGUGUUUUGAAAACCCGCAACGCUCGCAAAGGUGCAUAGUGAGAAUAAUAAGUGAAGAGACAGACUUGUCCAAAACGCCCACCACGAAGGUGCAUAGUGAGAAGAGUAAGUCAAGAGAUAGACUUGUCCAAAAAGAAACGGAAGAGAAAGCUUGGGGAGACGCUCACGAAGGUGCAUAGUGAGAAGAGUAAGUCAAGAGAUAGACUUGUUCAAAAAGAAACAGAAGAGAAUGCUUGGGGUUACACUCACGAAGGUGCAUAGGAGAAGAGUAAGUCAAGAGACAGACUUGUUCAAAAAGAAACAAAAGAGAAUGCUUGGGGAGAUAGAAGUGUGAGAUAGUUCUCAAGCUAAGAAAGUUGUAAAAGCUAAGAACUAGCAAGUAAUCGUCCAGGAUUCCUCCACCAGGACUUGAAAUCGUCGAGGGAAAAAAAUCGGUUCCGAGGAAUCGUCGAUCCGGACUUGGAAUCGUCGAGAAAAGUUUACCGGGUCCGAGGAUUUGUCGACCAGGAGUGGAAAUCGUCGAGAAAAAUCUAUCGGGUCCGAGGAAUCGUCGACCAGGACGAGGAAUCGUCGACAGGGUCCGAGGAUUUGUCGACCAGGGGUUGAAAUCGUCGACCAGGUCCGAGACUUCAUCGAC
This 791-nucleotide unclassified non-coding RNA is filed under the name Arabidopsis thaliana (thale cress). Its description in RNAcentral is "3' external transcribed spacer". The record is from RNAcentral. Lineage: Eukaryota; Viridiplantae; Streptophyta; Magnoliopsida; Brassicales; Brassicaceae.